RNAcentral lists this ribosomal RNA (478 nucleotides) under uncultured bacterium. RNAcentral describes it as "partial 16S ribosomal RNA". It matches the Rfam family "Bacterial small subunit ribosomal RNA", at positions 28 to 523 of the family's 1533-position model. The record is from RNAcentral.
GACGAACGCUGGCGGCGUGCUUAACACAUGCAAGUCGAACGGUAAGGCCCUUCGGGGUACACGAGUGGCGAACGGGUGAGUAACACGUGGGUGAUCUGCCCUGCACUUCGGGCUAAGCCUGGGAAACUGGGUCUAAUACCGGAUAGGACCCUGGGAUGCAUGUCCUGGGGGGGAAAGCUUUUGCGGUGUGGGAUGGGCCCGCGGCCUAUCAGCUUGUUGGUGGGGUGAUGGCCUACCAAGGCGACGACGGGUAGCCGGCCUGAGAGGGUGACCGGCCACACUGGGACUGAGAUACGGCCCAGACUCCUACGGGAGGCAGCAGUGGGGAAUAUUGCACAAUGGGCGCAAGCCUGAUGCAGCGACGCCGCGUGAGGGAUGACGGCCUUCGGGUUGUAAACCUCUUUCAGCACCGACGAAGCGCAAGUGACGGUAGGUGCAGAAGAAGGACCGGCCAACUACGUGCCAGCCGCCGCGGUAA